RNAcentral lists this long non-coding RNA (1120 nucleotides) under Sinocyclocheilus grahami. Its description in RNAcentral is "lncRNA (ENSSGRG00000030632.1)". The record is from RNAcentral. Lineage: Eukaryota; Metazoa; Chordata; Actinopteri; Cypriniformes; Cyprinidae.
CAACCAAAUCAAUCCAGUCUUGAAUCAUUUUAACUAGGCAAUAUGCAUACCCGUGGGAGUGGAUUAGAAGAAGCCACGCCACUUCUAACAUUUAUGACAAUAGAAAUAUAGAUAAGAUGUUGCCAGGUCAGUGUAACCAGGACUCUACUCCCUCUAAAGAAAUAACUGACCAAUAAUAAGGAGCUGUAUCUCACGCGUUUCUAGUAAACGUUUAACAAUGAUUUUAAAACUUAAUUCACUCUGUAGUUAGUUCUGAAUAUCAACGCAGUCAAAUUUUUUUUUACAUACUUAAAAAAAGAAAAAUAAUUAUUACAUCGAGAAAAAAAAAAGAGUUAUACAACACUAUCAGAUCUCCAUCAACGCAGGCGCGCACAACAGAAGGAUGUCAAGGGUGUGGAGAGGGUUCUGUGCUAGGAGUGAUUAUAACUAGUAACGUAGUUUUGUAGUUAACAAUGUUUUACCACUUAUCUCGUGAUGGUGAAUAUUAGAAAUAAAUAUAUAUAGUUAGGGCUUCAUAUGACGUCAGUGGUAAGACGGCGUUUGACUUCAAGUUCAAAAUACCUGAGUCGUGGCAUGGCGUCGUUUGUCGAGUAGGACACAUGAAACUAUGAAGGAAGACAUACACAGCGUUACUAUGGAAGUCAGAUUUCUAACCUGUGCAACGGACUAUCAGUAAUAUUGUCCAAUCUAAAGAAUACGACCGUGCCCUCAUCUAUGUUGGCAAAGAUAAAUGAUUUAAAAUAAAGAGACGACGCUGCAAAUCCUUCACCAGCAAGUCACUUAAACGCCUUAUAAUGAUGUAUCGUGCUUUUUGGGAUACAAUAUUCCUUCUCACCGUGUGUGAUGCUGUUGUUCCGCUGUUUUCUCAUUGCUGUAACGGUCAUGAGUCUGGCAAUUUUUGACUUUGUUGGAUCCUCAUUUUCACAUUUGGGCUCCCUUUUUACAUAUGGGCAGGUGCAAGAGAAUUCUAACUCAACAACGACCAUUGCAACCACCACAACAACAACUACCACAACAACCACCUCCAGCACGACGACAACCACUACUACUACACGUGUCAAAAGUAUGCUCUGUCUGCCUUUUCCUUUAUGCUCAACUCAUUUUGGCUUUCAUAGACUGA